AUCGGGGGGGAGGAAAGUCCGGGCUCCACUGGGCAGGGUGCUGGGUAACUCCCAGGCCCCGAUGACCGGAUUCCGGGAAUCGGGGACGGAAAGUGGCACAGAAACAUACCGUCCCGGCUUGUCGGGACAAGGGUGAAAUCGGACGGUAAGAGCGUCCGGUCGUCUGCGGUGACGUAGCGACGGCCAAACCCCACCUGGAGCAAGGCCGAAUAGGGGGACUAUGGGUGUCCGGCCCGUCCCCGGGUUGGCUGCUUGACCCCGAUGGAAACAUCGUCCCGCCUUGCGCGGGAACCCGGUGGCCCCUGCGGCUAUCGGGGGGGCUAGAUAGAUGGCCACCGUCCUUCCUCAAGGAAGGAUACAGAACCCGGCUUAUAGGUUUAAAUGGCUC
RNAcentral lists this RNase P RNA (388 nucleotides) under Chloroflexota bacterium. RNAcentral's name for it is "Chloroflexi bacterium (marine sediment metagenome) partial RNase P RNA component class A". It matches the Rfam family "Bacterial RNase P class A". From Rfam's summary of the family: Ribonuclease P (RNase P) is a ubiquitous endoribonuclease, found in archaea, bacteria and eukarya as well as chloroplasts and mitochondria. The record is from RNAcentral. Lineage: Bacteria; Bacillati; Chloroflexota.